UCUGAAUCUCACUUUAAAGGUACUCACCUCUUUCUUUUGUCUUUGGAAGGAGUUGAAGUGUUUACUUUGCUAAAGAUAUUUUCAUCUCCCACAAGAACAGAAUACAAAAGGUUUUUGGCACAGUGUCAAUGGGAUCAGAGGGAGACUGAACUGGAAAAUAACAGAAAGCAGGGACUAUGGAGAGGAGUGGAGUCCAUCGUUUUUCUGCUUGCUGGAGAGGUUAAGGACAGAUGCAGAAGUGCCCAAGCUUCAUAGGACUGAGGAGCUUGUGCUGUCAUUCGUACCAAAGCCCAGCUUUCAGAAAAUAUGACAACUUCUGCAUAAAUUCUGUUUUAUAUAGUACAUAAAAUCGUUAUUGGCUAUCACACAUCAGAUGUCUUCUCCCAGGACUAUAUAUUUUUUCCACUGUUUUAUCUCCCAUACUUUGGUCACAUACCACAGAUCACACUGCGUUAUAGUAAGACAUACUCUGUGAAAGGAUGUGGGAGAGAAGAUUAAAAUAAGGACACAGAGUUGUAUGUGGGGGAUGCAGGGCAAAUAGGAAUUAAAAUCUUGAUUCCUGGAUUCUGUGUGUAGUAUAAUAAAAGAUGGCAGUCUAUUGGAUUAGUGUGGUAA
This is a long non-coding RNA of Anser cygnoides (Swan goose), 615 nucleotides long. NCBI's taxonomy places the organism in Eukaryota, Metazoa, Chordata, Aves, Anseriformes, Anatidae. The record is from Ensembl.